Molecule: non-coding RNA, 36 nt
Filed under: Geobacter sulfurreducens PCA
Lineage: Bacteria; Pseudomonadati; Thermodesulfobacteriota; Desulfuromonadia; Geobacterales; Geobacteraceae
Source: RNAcentral
UACCUCUACCGCGACAAGGAAUAUCACGGACAUCUC